This 22-nucleotide microRNA is filed under the name Apis mellifera (honey bee). RNAcentral describes it as "ame-miR-3747a-5p". Lineage: Eukaryota; Metazoa; Arthropoda; Insecta; Hymenoptera; Apidae. The record is from miRBase by way of RNAcentral.
CGAGGCUUUUUUUCAGCGAUGA